Molecule: ribosomal RNA, 254 nt
Filed under: uncultured bacterium
Lineage: Bacteria
Description: partial 16S ribosomal RNA
Rfam family: Bacterial small subunit ribosomal RNA
Source: RNAcentral
UACGGAGGGAGCUAGCGUUGUUCGGAAUUACUGGGCGUAAAGGGUGCGUAGGUGGCGGGGGUAAGUCAGGUGUGAAAUCUCGGAGCUCAACUCCGAAACUGCACUUGAUACUGCCUUGCUUGAGUACUGGAGAGGAGAUUGGAAUUUACGGUGUAGCAGUGAAAUGCGUAGAUAUCGUAAGGAAGACCAGUGGCGAAGGCGAAUCUCUGGACAGUUACUGACACUGAGGCACGAAGGCCAGGGGAGCAAACGGG